GUCGCAUGCUCCCGGCCGCCAUGGCGGCCGCGGGAAUUCGAUAGAGUUUGAUCAUGGCUCAGAACGAACGCUGGCGGCAUGCCUAACACAUGCAAGUCGAACGAAGGCUUCGGCCUUAGUGGCGCACGGGUGCGUAACGCGUGGGAAUCUGCCCCUUGGUUCGGAAUAACAGUUAGAAAUGACUGCUAAUACCGGAUGACGACGUAAGUCCAAAGAUUUAUCGCCGAGGGAUGAGCCCGCGUAGGAUUAGCUAGUUGGUGUGGUAAAGGCGCACCAAGGCGACGAUCCUUAGCUGGUCUGAGAGGAUGAUCAGCCACACUGGGACUGAGACACGGCCCAGACUCCUACGGGAGGCAGCAGUGGGGAAUAUUGGACAAUGGGCGAAAGCCUGAUCCAGCAAUGCCGCGUGAGUGAUGAAGGCCUUAGGGUUGUAAAGCUCUUUUACCCGGGAUGAUAAUGACAGUACCGGGAGAAUAAGCUCCGGCUAACUCCGUGCCAGCAGCCGCGGUAAUACGAAUCACUAGUGAAUUCGCGGCCGCCUGCAGGUCGACCAUAUGGGAGAGCUCC
RNAcentral lists this ribosomal RNA (567 nucleotides) under uncultured Alphaproteobacteria bacterium. RNAcentral's name for it is "partial 16S ribosomal RNA". It matches the Rfam family "Bacterial small subunit ribosomal RNA", at positions 1 to 596 of the family's 1533-position model. Lineage: Bacteria; Pseudomonadati; Pseudomonadota; Alphaproteobacteria. The record is from RNAcentral.